GCACUGGUUUAUCCGGAGAUACGCGUCCUUGAAUGUAUGGAACUUGGUUGGGUCAUGGUGAGACAACGUUCUCAUACUUCUUUGCCAGCAAAUUUCACCCAUCUACGUCGGGAUAUUGGCCAGAUCAAGGCAGCGGACUGAAGCUGCCAAGUGGGCCUCGCGACCGGGCGAGGAGCUCAGUGAUAACGGAUGUAAAUAUUCAUUGCUAACUCACACCUUUGAUCGGCACCUAGGGAAUCAAUCCCCAGCCGAGCUUGUAAGAAGAAUAUCCCCGCCGUGGAAAAUAAAUACGUCAAAAUCAAAUCUCACCUGUGAACUUUGUCAACUCCGGUCAACAGGUGAUAAUACGCUCGACCAUUCCACUGAAGAUCCAAGCGUGAAAUGGGCCUCAUGGAAGGUAUAGCGCAUGAUGACAGCGAAA
RNAcentral lists this small RNA (421 nucleotides) under Histoplasma capsulatum. RNAcentral's name for it is "hypothetical RNA". The record is from RNAcentral. RNAcentral also lists the same sequence under 1 other name. Lineage: Eukaryota; Fungi; Ascomycota; Eurotiomycetes; Onygenales; Ajellomycetaceae.